Molecule: non-coding RNA, 565 nt
Organism: Camelina sativa (false flax)
Lineage: Eukaryota; Viridiplantae; Streptophyta; Magnoliopsida; Brassicales; Brassicaceae
Source: RefSeq, a predicted model, not a curated record
CCUGAAAAUCAUACCCAACAAGCAUCGGUGAGGUGAGUCUAUAGAGUGAUUAUUCUCUAUAAAACAUCAUAUUCAAAUACUCACAAAUCUUAUUACAUGUACAAUCAUAGAGCAUGUCUCGCGGGUUAAAUAUUAUUAUGUGUAAAGCUUUCUAAUUACUCAUCAAUACUUGAAAGCAAACAGAAGCAGGAUUUCUAUCUCCAGUUCCCCACAAAGAAAAUCAAAAGAGUCGUUGAGAUGAUUGAGAUUUACAUGGAAUCAAAGAAAAAAACGCACUCAAAGAGGGCAACACAACAAUCAAAGAAGGUAAAGAACAAGAAUCACAUUUGAAACUCUUAUUCCUUUUCCGAAAGGUUCAACAUGGGGUGAAGAUUUAAGGACUUACAAAGAUUUGUCUACAAGACAUACAAGGAAGCAUGUUUAGAAGUAGACAAAUGAUAUGGUACUUCUUUAAAAAGAAAAUCUAAAAUCUUAUCUUAGUUUUCCAUUCUUUAAUUGUUUGUAUUUUCUUAAUUAUGUUAGAAAAUUAUCAAUCAAUAAACUUUUUUUGGUUAGUCUUCAUAAA